Molecule: long non-coding RNA, 1161 nt
Filed under: Apteryx haastii (Great spotted kiwi)
Lineage: Eukaryota; Metazoa; Chordata; Aves; Apterygiformes; Apterygidae
Description: lncRNA (ENSAHAG00000001356.1)
Source: RNAcentral
AUGGGAGUCACCUCUGCCCAAGUCGAGCACCUAGCAAGAGGCGAUCCUGCUCAGGAGGGCUUUUCGCCUCCUCCAGCAGCACGGCAGCAGGAUGCCCCACAGCAGAUGGGCCGAGAAGCGCCCUCCCUCCCCUUCCCCGGGGGCAGGCUCCCUGCAGGCCAGCCUUUCCCCAGGGAAAAGCUCCCAGUGCCUCUCGCCAGCAGCGGGGAGCCUCGUGCAGCCCCCCCGCUUGUGUGCCUUUGCAGUGGGGCAGCAGUAACGGCAGACGCAGAGGUCAUGCUGCAUCUCUGCGGGCAGCCGCAGAAGGCACCUCGGCAGCUCUGCACCCGCCGCAGGGCGCCGCCGCGGCACGUCGGCACGGCCGGGACCCCCGCGGACGCCCCUAUGGGCGGGAAAGGCGUUAGCCGAGUGGCGGCCUCCCGCGGCGGCACCGCAGAGGCAUCCCGGGAGACGGGCUCCCACCGGAGCUGCUGCGCUGGCAGCCGUUCGGUGCCUGCGCCGGGCUCCCUGCGGGGUGUGCGCCCGCCCCCGGAGAGCGCGCAGAGCCAAGGCUCGCACGGUGGGAGCGGUGUGCGGGCCUUCAUCCCUGCUUGGCGCUCGUGCAGCACCGCUGCCUUCCCGCCCGGCACCCCGGCGCGGCCGCCGCGGCUCUCCCGCACUGGCAGGGUCGUGCCCCGGCCCUGUGGCGGGUGCCCAGCCAGCCCCGGCAGCCUGCGCGGCCUCGGUGCCAGUGGUGCACAGAGAGGGGGCCCGGCCCUGCGGGACCCCUUUGCCCUCCUCUUCCUCGCGCCCUCUGCACCCUCAGGGUCAGCCCAGACCCGCUGCCCGGCCGGGGGCUGGCGGCGAGGCGGUGCAUGGCCGGCAGCGCUGGGGCCGCUGCCCCGUGCCCUCCGCAGCUCACCUCUCCCUGCCCUGGGGAGGCGGGAGGGGGGUGCCGGGCUGCGAGGGAAGGGGCUGAAGGCCGCGGCGGGAGAGGAGGGAGGCGGCGGGAGCGGGAGCGGACGGGUUAACCUGGCCGGCGUAGGUGCACGCAUUCCUCUCCGGCGACGGCAGGCAGGAGCCCCAGCGUCAGGUUACGGCGCCCGCUCCUCCCCACCCUGCCCCUUCCCAAGCCCCUUCCCGACCCGCCGUGGCCUCUGGCGCCCAGCGAGGGAUAAUUGA